This 75-nucleotide transfer RNA is filed under the name Paraflavitalea soli. Its description in RNAcentral is "tRNA-Phe". It matches the Rfam family "tRNA". Rfam says of the family: Transfer RNA (tRNA) molecules are approximately 80 nucleotides in length. Their secondary structure includes four short double-helical elements and three loops (D, anti-codon, and T loops). The record is from RNAcentral. Lineage: Bacteria; Pseudomonadati; Bacteroidota; Chitinophagia; Chitinophagales; Chitinophagaceae.
AGACGAAUAACUCCAAUGGUAGAGUAGCCCGUUGAAGCCGGGUGUGUACAAGUUCGAAUCUUGUUUCGUCCGCCA